Long non-coding RNA from Balaenoptera ricei (Rice's whale), 1504 nucleotides. RefSeq lists it as uncharacterized. The record is from RefSeq and is a predicted model, not a curated record. Lineage: Eukaryota; Metazoa; Chordata; Mammalia; Artiodactyla; Balaenopteridae. The transcript has 4 exons.
CCCAGGGCCGCAGUCGCUUCGGCUAGCCUGCGAGUCUCAGAGGAAAAAGGGGUUCCAGAAGUGCGUCCCCCGGGCCGCUCACCCGGCACUGCAAUUGUGGGGGGAAGAGAAUAGAGGAGUGAAGAAGGGUGCAUUUUCCAUCUCACCUCGGUCCUCGGCUAGGAAAACCACGUAGCCCUGACCAGUGGGCUCAAGGCCCUGCUGGAAACUGGUUCUGAGUGUAUAUGUCUCAGCUUGAGAUGAGAAAAUGAGAACAAGUAACAAGCAUAUUUUUUCAACUGUAAAAUUGGUUUUCAAAUCUGCUAAUUGGUGAAAAGAGAUCAACUUCUCUCUCAAGUUACAGAAGCAGAAAUUCAACUGGUCCUUAUUAAUGAAAGAUCUUCAGUGAAGGUUGAAAGCCCUUCAGAUCAAUCAUACCACACUUUGAGCUCCUCUGGCCUCCGUGGUUCCCUCAUCUGUGCUCACGGCUCACAGAUAGCUCACUGGAAAUAAAUAUGGAAAUUUCCUAAGAGGCUGAAUACUGAUGAGGUUGUAACUGAAUUUAGAAUUCUCUUCUGGACACAAUUCCUUGGGUGAUAUAGGAUCCUAAAUUUAUUUGUUUUACCUUUGUAUUUUGGAAAAGUUAAAACUUAUAAAAGUUGAUAAAUUAGUAUCCUGUGUGCCCAUCACCUAGCUGCAAGAAUUAUUAACUUACAGGGCAGAAUAACGGCCCCUGCAAGAUGUCCAUGUCCUAAAGCCUGGAACUUGUUGAUAUGUUAGGUUAUGUGAUAAGCAAGAAUUAUGGUUACACAUGGAAUUAAGGUUGCUCAUCAGUUGACGCUGAGAUGGGGGAGAUUAUCCUGAUUCUCCAGGUGGGAACAAUCUAAUCACAUGCAUCUUUGUAAGUGCAAGAAGGAGGCACUGGAGAGAGACCCAGAUAGAUGGCCAUGUGAGAAGGUAUUGGCUGAUGCUGUUGAAGAGAGAUGGAGGAAUGGGGCCUUGAGCCAAGGAAUGUGGCUAGCCUAUAAAAGCUGAAAAACGCAAGGAAACAGAUUCUCCCCUAGAGCAGCCUGAAGGAUUGGAGGCCUGUCGACACCUUGAUUUUAGCCUAGUGAGACCUAAUUCAGAUUUCUUACCUACAGAACCGUAAGAUAAUAAAUUUGUGUUGUUUUAGGCCACUGAGUUUGAGGUAAUUUUUUAUAGCAGCUAUAGAAAACAGAUUUCUUAAAAAAAGGGAGAGAGAGAGAAAGGCUGUCAAAAUGUGAAGGGAAUAAAAUAAUCCUUAAGGUUAAUGCUAAAAAUUUCUUUGAAUGUAUUUUACAAACCUAGCAAAGAAAGACUGCUUUUAUUUGUUGGCUUUGACUACAAAAGGAAUGGAUGUAAAUCUGAAUAUCUAUAAAAAAGAUUUGAAUAUAUAUACCAAAGUUUAAAUAGAUAUUUAAAUUGCUAAUAUGAUUAGUUUUAUUAAUCAUUUGAAUGAUUUAAGCCCUUUACUCUCAUCUUUUGGUGCCAUUUUUGUUAAACU